GGAUGAAGAAGAAGAAGGAAUAAGGACCAUGAAGAAGUCAGAAGAAGAAGGAAGAAGAAGGGGGAGGAAGAAGAAGGAAGUGGUGAAUGACGAAGGAGGAGGAGGAAGACGAAGUGGGAUAAAACGGUGAAUUUAACCCUAAAUGCACGAUCCACAUCAUUUACACAGUUUAACUUACCACUUUAUUGAAUCUAAAAUUUCAUUGAUUUAAGCUGCAGUUCAUUUAGUUCUAGAAGGCUAUUCUCUUUCAUUCAAUUUUGUGGUUUUGGAAAUCAAAUUGGAUAUUUUAUUUGGAAAUCGUAUUCAAUAUUCGUAAUAAACCGGAUUUGCUAAAUACGUGCUUUAUUGAAUUCUACGGUAUGUGUUGUUGUUAGUGCGGUGUUUUAUUUCUUCGCGGGACAGGCGAACUUUGUCUCGCCCCUAAUUGUUCUUUUAUAUAGUUCUAGAGUACUGUUCUAUUUCAUUCAAUUUUGUGCUUUUGGAAAUCAAAUUGGAUAUUUUAAUUGGAAAUCGUAUUUCAUUCGUGCCUUAAAUUUCAUCAUACAACUAAUAAAAUGCAAUGAAAAAGGCGUAAUAAUAUUAGUCGCCGUACACGUAAUGUUUAUACUUUAAGGUCGAAUAGAACAUUGCAAAGUAAGGAAGAGCGUGCACAAAUUAAUGCAGAUAGAAGAGAUCGAUUUGCACGAAAUCGAAACUCACCUAAUCGAUCUCUUGAUAGGCAGCCACCUCGAAAUCGGUCAAUGCGAGCGGGAGUUCGUGUUUUGCAGCAAACGCUCCUUGCUGGUUUUAAUUACGAUAGUGCGAUUGAUUACAGUGCAUAUGGCUGUAUUGGUGGAAUGACGGUGAUAUGUGCACAUUGUGGUGCAACCAAAUUUUUAAAUGAAACAGAUGGAAUGUGCUGUGCUAACGGCAAAGUGAAAUUGCCAACAUUUGAAUCUCCACCCGAUCCACUACGUUCGCUGAUUUUUGGAAUGGUAUCAACGUCGACACAUUUUUUGUCUCAUUCAAGAAUGCAAUGCAUCAUUUCAAAUGACUUCUUUUGGUGCGACAAAAAUUUUAAGAGACAAAUUUAUGCCGACGUUCAAGGAUAUUAGUUCUUCUUCCUUCUUCUUCUUCAUCCUCCUUCUUCUUUCUCCUCCUUCUUCUUCCUUCUUCGUCUCACAUAUUACAGAUUCAGGGUAAGAUUUACCACCGCGCUGGCUCAUUAUUACCAUAUCAUGAUACCGACCAUCAAUUCUUACAAAUCAAUUUCGUUGGAAAUGAAAAUCGCGAAUUGGAUCGGCGAUGUACAAUUGCUUUGAGGACAAGGCGACAAAAUGUUUCUGAGCUUCAAACAUUUUUUCAUCAAAAUAAUGAAUUAGUUCGAUUAUUCAAAAUCGCUCUCGAUCGUAUGCCAUCGGAUAAUCACAAAAUCAUCAUAAAAGCCGAUAGAAUACCAAUCGGAGAGCAUGCCAGACGAUUUAGUGCACCGACAAUCGAUGAUGUGGCUAUUGUAAUUGUUGGGGACCAGUUUCAAUCCCGCGACUCCGUGCUAUUCACUUUAACACAAGAAGACAUUUUAAUUUUUUGAUAAUGCAUUCAUUACAGGUCGUGACAUUCAAAAAAAAGUUUGUGCGAUGAACUAUUACUCGUACAGAUUCAUGAUUCGCCCACAAGAAGACAAUUUCAUUUUGAGAUGUGGCAAACUUUUUAAUCAAUACGCUGUUGACAUGUACGCAAAAAUAGAAACAGAACGUCUGAAUUACCUUUGAUUCAAUCAAGCAAAUUUACGAUCGGAAGAAUAUAUACAUUUGCGAGAUGGUAAUGCAAAUGAUAUCGGACGUUUAACAAUAUUACCAUCCACAUAUGUCGGCAGUCCGCGUCGCAUGCAUGAAUACACGCAAGAUGCAAUGUCAUACGUUCGCAAAUAUGGUCGACCAGACUUUUUUAUAUUAUUUACAUGAAAUACGCAGUGGGCGAUUUUGGCCAUACAACAACAAUUAGAGUUCAUAAUCAAGACACUAUCAUUGACAAUCGUUGGGUAGCGAUUAUUUGGACUGCAAAAACAUGGCAACGACGUAAAAGAGGAGCCCCAGUUGAUGGUCAUUCAGGCGUUUUAUAUGAAGAUAUUAUGGGAAGGUUGUACACAGUUCAUCCAAACAAUGCAGAGUGCUUUUAUUUGCUACUGUUGUUGGUAAACGUUGUAGGACCGCGCUCAUUUCAACAUUUGCGAACAGUUAAUGGUCAUUUAUGUCAGACAUAUCGCGAAGCAUGUGAACACUUACAUUUGUUGGAAAAUGAUGCUCAUUGGGAUUUGACACUUAACGAUACAUCGAUUUCUUCUUCUCCACAUCAAAUACGUAUGCUAUAUGCCAUAAUAUUAUCGACAUGCUUUCCAUCGAAUCCAUUCGAUUUGUUGAAUAAAUAUAAAGGUUUAAUGGCCGAAGACUUUUUAAAUCGAAUGCGUCAUCACACCAGAAAUCACGAUUUGCUGAUCUCAUGGGAAAUGUAUAACGAGGCAUUGAUAUCGAUUGAAGAUAUGUGACUUGCGAUGGCAAAUAAAGCAUUAGGUCAAUUAGGUAUGCCUUCACCGAAUCGUCCAAUGCAUGAUUUGUUUGAUCGAGAAUUGCAACGUGAACAACCUACCCAAAUUGAACGACCAACAAAAACAUGUUUACGAUACCAUUAUGCAAGCAGUACAUAAUGAUGGUGGAUUGUAUUUUUUGGAUGCGCCUGGAGGUACGGGUAAAACAUUUGUGGUAUCAUUGAUUUUGGCAGCCAUUCGGUCACAACAAAAAAUUGCAUUGGCACUUGCUUCGUCAGGAAUAGCUGCUACUUUAUUGGAUGGUGGAAGAACACCACACUCAGCAUUAAAAUUGCCGUUAAAUGUGCAGGUGAUUGACAAUCCCACAUGCAACAUAUCAAGAAAUUCUCCAAUGGCAAAAGUUUUGCAGCAAGCAGCAAUUAUUCUUUUGGAUGAAUAAAAAAUGUCUGGAAGCAUUAAACAGAACAAUGCAAGAUCUACGUCGCAAUCAACAAAUUUUUGGUGGUGCACUAAUAUUUUUGUCAGGAGAUUUCCGACAAACAUGGCCCGUCAUUCCACAUGCAAUGUUAGCGGAUCAGGUCAAUGCGUGCUUGAAGUAUUAUUUCCUGUGGCGAUAUGUCCAAAAAUUGCCAUUAAACAUAAACAUGCGUGUUCAAUUGCACAAUGAUCAAUCUGCAGAACGGUGUGCGAAGCAAUUAUUAGAAAUCGGAAGUGGCAAAGUUCCAAGUACAAAUAACUUGAUCACUUUGCCAAACAAUUUUUGUACAAUUCUACAAUCUAAAGGCGAAUUAAUAGAAAGCGUUUUUCAAAAUAUAAUUCAAAAUCACAGAAAUCACGAUUGGUUGACAGAACGAGCAAUAUUGUCAUCAAAAUUUGUACAUGUCAAUGAAAUCAAUUUUCACAUUAAAGAAUUUUCACAUUUAAA
Molecule: long non-coding RNA, 3449 nt
Organism: Drosophila santomea
Lineage: Eukaryota; Metazoa; Arthropoda; Insecta; Diptera; Drosophilidae
Exons: 4
Source: RefSeq, a predicted model, not a curated record